Molecule: long non-coding RNA, 3283 nt
Organism: Papaver somniferum (opium poppy)
Lineage: Eukaryota; Viridiplantae; Streptophyta; Magnoliopsida; Ranunculales; Papaveraceae
Exons: 9
Source: RefSeq, a predicted model, not a curated record
AUGAGUUUUGCUUCUCUGUUUGAAUUUUUCGAUUCUUCAUUCUUUGUGAUGUAGUUUUUUUUAUAAUGAACUCAUGUUAUUUACAUGUUGAAUCAGAAAGACGGUUGAGAGAAAAAGGUAAACAUACAGAAAAAAUUAAAGAAUUUUUUUUCCCGUUGAUUGCUGGUUUAGGUUACGUUUUUAGUAACAGAAAUCAGCAUAAAUAGGGCUCUUCAUUCCGCUUCAAAGAAGCAUCAUCCUACAAUUAGGUUGUAUCGGUAUCUUAGUGUAAUUGGGGUUUUUGUACCUUUCAGCAAAUUCUAUGGUUUUAAUCAUUACUUUUUUGGUUUUUUUGGUACGAUUGUUUUUUUUCUGCCGCAAAAAUUUGCUACAUAGUUUCAAUUAAAUCAGCUUCUUUCUUUUGUUUGAUUCUGUCUUGAAUGAUUUCCAUUCAUAUCAUCUUGGUCCCUAUGUCACCAUUUGGCUUCAAAUAUAUAAAUUGUUUCCCCUUUCAUUUUAAUGGUGUCUUUUAUGUGAUGAUAUCUUUGGUGCACUUUGAGUUUUUCUCCCAGUGUUGGAUUUGUACUGCAACACCUGUCCUUCUCCUUGAUUUUGGACUGUCAUCAUGUAUUUCUCUAAUUUUGCGCUGAUUUCAUGUUAGAGGUGUCAUCUUUGUAUAUAUCAUGCAACAAAGUACCAAAGAUAAAUAAAGGUUCAGUUGGUUAAAUUUGAAUUUAUCGCUCUAUAAAAUUCAAUUUAAUUAAGUUAUAGUGUACCGAGAUGCAUAAUUUCAUUGAUGCAAAGUGCUAUUGACAACAUUUUGUAUAAGUUUCUGUUUAGUAGUUUGUAAACUGUAUCACCUAAAUUGGUCUCUUUAACCAAUACAUUAACGGGUUAUCAUCUGACUCUACCACUAAUUUAGAUAAUCACAAACAAAGUCAGCUUGACCAUUGUACCGGUACAGAGACGACAGGUAAAACAUAGCAUGGAUGAGAACGAAAAUAUAAUACUGCUCAUUCUUUGAAGCAGUGUAUGAAUUUCUUCUCAUCUUUGGAUUUGACUGAGUUGGUGACCCUGAUGCUGUAGCCUGUAAAGUAUCUCGAACAUCGGAGGAGAUUGGUUUGUGAAGUUGUGAGUCGGAAGGAUACAAAAUUCAAAAAACUCGCUCAGAGGGUAGACAGAAAGGUGGAGCUUGGCAUAAGCACCGAUCCAAGCUCUUCUUUUGAUUGCAUAUUACAAUCAAUGGUUAUUUGUCACAUUAAUAUGCAUUAUUUUUGCUAAAUUGUUUUGUCAAUGAAAUCGCAUCAUAUCUUUUCUAGGUUCUCUUGACUUCUUCCGAAGCAGUACUAUCUGCUCUACCUUGCUCAAGUCCAGGUGCUAAGAGAAAGAACAAUGAAACACUAUCAGGCCUACAGCUUGAUAGAGGGGAGUAUCCAAGAGAGGAAGCUGGGGAGUACUUGGAGGAAGAUAAACUAAAAGUGAACGCACUUGAGAAUAUGUCUAUUUUGUUGCCAAAGAAACAUUAUCUGAGAGCAUGUUCCUCCUCAUUUCUUUUACUCUAUGUGAUCUAAUCUUUGUCUUCUGCACGAUACUUUCAGUUACAAGAUAUAGUGGAUAGUCUGAACUCAUCAACCUCUCCAGCCAAGGAAAUAAUGUUGAGGUUCUCUUAGAUGAAGAUGACAACGAAGAUGAAUCACGCAGGGAGGGGGUAUUGUAUUAUGGUAUGCUAAGGCUAAAACAACCUGUUACAGGCACUACCACAACUUCCAUUGCAAGGUGUUUCCCACUAACCUGAAAACAUCCGAAUCAUAUUUUGCAACCCCAUCAAACGAUAAUGGGUAACAUUUUUAUUUAUUUUUUAGUACACCAUGCUUACAGUACUAUAGUCUACUUAUUCUGAUAUAUCUAAGGUUUUGUUAAGCAUUUGCUUAUAGGUGUUCAUUUAUGUUAAGAAAUCAAGGUUUGUUUAAUGGAUUUUUGAAUUUUUGGUUGGCAAUAGUUAUUUUAUUAUUUUCGUAAUGAUAUAGACUUGCUUUAUACGUAGACAUGUCUCUCUAUUUUGAACUCUUUACCUCUAAAAGUCUCUAAGCACCCAGCUGAACUUCGUCACAUCUUUCGAGGUUAGUGGAAAUAUAGGCAUUUGGUAUGAUACCUUUUUCUGACAUUUUCCAAAAUUUUGUCCUGUUACAACGUAAUGAAUGCAUAUAUCUUCUUUGUUGCUUAUCUUUUUAUUUUCCUCCAGGUUAAGCAUAAUUUAAUUUGAUAACAAUGAAAACGAAUUGUGCUGGAAACCGAGGUUGGAAGUGCUAAUUGAAGAUCUAAACGGGAUUGCUUUAGUUCGAAAAAGGGCUGUCACAAAGGAUUGGAUUAGAAGUUUCAUGUGCCCAUUAGAUUGGCGGUGUUCAUGAAAAAAUUCUUAUGCUUAAAUUGAUGACGUGGAGUUACAUCGUAGUUCUGGCAUCAGGGACAAAGUUGGGUUGGAAUUCAGUUCCUUUGAUUUUCCAUUAAACAAGCAUACGAGGGAAUGGUGCUACCAAACUACAUGCUGAAUUUUCGGCAUAACAUAUAGGUUUUCUUAGCAACGAGACUGCUCUAGGGAUGGAGGCUGUUUCAUUUUGAUCGGUUUAGUUUAGCCUGUUAUUUUUGGUGGGGCUAUGAGCCCAAGAACUUGACCAGGGAUGGAAGUGUUCCAUAUGGAAUAGUUAACUGACAGUGGAAUAAGAGAUUGACAAAGACACGUGUUUCUUUCAUUUUUUUAGUAGGAGAUAUCAGAAUACGUGGCUCAGGAAGAGGACAUGGGAUCGACCGAUAUGCGAGAAAAAAUUAAGCUGAGAAUGGAAUCUUAUACUCAUGAUCGGUAUACAAUUAAGGAAAAUUUCAAGCAUUUUUUUGGUGGAAUUGCGGAAAAAUUGGUGGGAAUUUAUGAGCAAGUCAAUUAGAAGCGAAAAUGGCUUUGAUAGUAGUAGAUUCUCAAGGUAUUCCGAUCAUCUGCACAGAAAGCACGCACCAGCUAAGGCCCCUAAAUGACCGCUCAGUGAUAAAGGAGGUAGGGGUGCAGAGACAGCCAGGAGGUUUGCCUAGAAGCAGCCACCCUUGAAAGAGUGCGUAAUAGCUCACUGAUCGAGCGCUAGAGAAGAGGGAGGUCAAGGAGAACGGCGAUCUAAGAACCAGAGUCACCAACAGUUACAGCACCAUCCACAUUUGAUAUUCCAUCCUACCAUACUCAGGCUGCUCUGCAGAAGGUGUGUUGGACGAGUAAAUUAAUUAGUCUGGAGAAGUAGUAUAUGGUGAAACCUGCGAUAGU